GUUUUCUGUGGGCUGUUAUGGCUGUGUGAGUAUAGAGACUUGUGUGCUUAAUGCUUAAAUUCAAGUUUAACUCAUUGCUUUCUGACCCACCUAUUUCACUAGUCAGUGCUAUUCACCCAGGGCUAUAAUCAUUUUUAAUUUUGUAUUCCCCACCAUUCCAUGUACUUACUGUUUUGGGCUGAAAAGGGGGUUCUGCGCCUUUCUCUUCCAGCACCACCCAAUCAAUGGAUUGAUAGAAUGGGUGGCGCCUGAUGUUCCCUCGCAGUCCAAGGCGCCAUUUCGGCUUCCUUUUAAGAAGCUAAAGGAUCAAAGGACAAUUGUUUUAAUAUCGCUAAUGGAUGAGAAAUAUAUUUGUUGCAAUACUUCUAUAGCACUUUUGGGACCCACCUUGCCCAGAAGAUUUUUUAGAUCUUCAUCCAGCCAUUUAGGUAUUUCGGGAUCAUGGUGUUUGGUGGCAUGAAUGAGCUCCUCAUCGUCGCUGUGGUCAAAGGGCAGUUUGCCGGUGGCCAUGUCGCAGAUGGUGAUGCCAAAUGACCACCAGUCUACUGCUGCAGUGUAGGGGCUUCUAUGUAGAAUCUUAAAAAGAAAUAUAAAUCUCUUACCAAGUUGCAAAAUGCCACCUUUUAAGUAUGUUUACUGGCUUAAUAUUGGCAACGGAGUUCAGUGGGUUUAGUUGGCCAAUGAGUGUAGGGAGUAAUUCAUGAGAUCAGUUGGUUCCCUAGCUUGGGUCUGAACAGUCAUAUUUUCCAGGACCCAAUAAAUUCUGUAAGGGUAUAACUACAACUGCAAAUAUGGGUGAUGCCUGGCACAAUCCAGUUGGCACUAAAGCUCUGUAUAAGCCUGAGAUAGUAAUACAGUGUUUAUCAUGUAAUUAAGAAACUGUUGCAGAUAAGUUGGUUCUCUCCUGUUGCCCACUUGUACCAAUACCUACAGUAUAUUGCAUCUUGGUAUUUUAAUGCUCUUUUCAACAAGGGGCAAGUGUUGUGCCAACAUCUUCUUAGUACCUUCCGAGCCUCCCUUUUGCAUGCACAGUACAGUAAUAUGUAGAGAAAAUGUAACUACUGUAUGCAGAAGCCACAAGGGGGGGGGGGGGCUUGGGGCACAUAUAGAGUGUGAUCCCUGUAAUUAUUUCCAAACAGGAGCACUGGUCCAGGGAAAAAGGACCUAUACCCCCCUCCAGUAUAUUACUCUAUCCUUGUCCUUAAAUAAUUAUUUGUCUAACAGUUAAAACUUUACGUCUUUGUAAGACAUCAGCUGUAUUGUAUAUUCUGUUCUGUUGUCCUGGGCACAUUCUCCUAUACUUCUUGCUUUUACUAGGUUUCGGCUGUAAUUAUACUCUAUUUGCAUAUCUCACCUCCGGGGCCAUGUAUCCCACAGUUCCAGCCCUGCCAAUCGUGGUGUCGCCGCGGAAGAUAUUCUGCUUGGCCAGGCCGAAAUCGGAGAUUUUUGCAUGCCCUCGAUGGUCCAACAGAAUAUUCAGGGGUUUAAUGUCUCUGUAAUAUAACGAUAAAAGGAAUUAGAUAAAAAAAAGACAAGGGCUGCUGAUUUGCAGCAAUGUUACAGAGAGGAAAAAUUGUAUACUGACCGGUGGAUAAUCCCCUUGUUAUGCAGGAACUGCAGGCCGCAGAUCAUCUCCGCCGAAUGGAACCUUUUAAACAGGGAAAUAAUGGUUACCUCCAUAAAGAUUAUCAUGUAAUAUGAAAUUUAAAUAUGAUGCUCCCCAGUGUCAAAAUGUACUUAUUGUAUUAUUCCAUCCUUUGUUUAGGUACAAUUUGUAUAAAUCUAUUUAUUAGUGAUAUUGUACCUGUACCAAUAUAAUACUUACCGUACUCUCUGUAUAUCUAGGCUGCCGUAUUGAUCCAGCUCAUCCUCAAGGCUUCCCCCACUCAGGAAUUCCAUGACAUAAAAGGCGUGCCGCUGGUUACACAGACAAUUGCAAAGUGUCAAGAGAAGGAAGAAAUGGCACAAGACUUACAACGUAGGGCAAAAGAGAGCACGAGGAUUUCUUAUCUACUCUAAGGUAGAGCCUUGCCAGGGCACCUCACAGAGGAAGCAGCCUCCCACAUUUAUGUCAUCAGUGCACACAGUUGUAAAGCGAUCCUUCUGGGUACAGCAGCACACUAAAGCGUCUGUACGACUCCGACACUCGCACAUCUCUCCCUUCUGCUAGACAAGAAAAAAUCUGGACAAUGUUACCUGGAUUUUGCACCUUCAAGGGAAUUGCACGCACCCUGGGAAUGGCAAUCAAUGAUCGUCCAGACCUG
This is a long non-coding RNA of Xenopus tropicalis (tropical clawed frog), 2264 nucleotides long. RefSeq lists it as uncharacterized. The record is from RefSeq and is a predicted model, not a curated record. The transcript has 3 exons. Lineage: Eukaryota; Metazoa; Chordata; Amphibia; Anura; Pipidae.